GGGGAGCGGGGUGGGGAGGGUAUGUAUCUCUCGUGUCUGGAAUGUGCCUGUAUCGGGGUGUGUUGUUGUAUGUAUCACUCUUGUCAAAUGUGCCUUUAUGUGCUGGAGAUCGUAUCUUUUCGGCAAGGACCGCAUUGUGCAGUGUGGUUUUGCAUGUCUAAUAAUUCUAUACAUAGAUGAGAAAAAGAUAAUUUAAAGUAGUGUUAUCACUACCAGCUGGCCGUGAUUGAUUGCGAUGUACUUGGAAUAGUGUAUUUUGUCGGGGUGCCGGCACUUAGGGUACAUUAAGUUUCUUUUGUUCAUAAGAGGUAGUGUGCAUCCAUUUUAGAGGGGAUUCCUGUGUAAAACUAAAUUCAACAGACAUAAU
RNAcentral lists this long non-coding RNA (367 nucleotides) under Vigna radiata. Its description in RNAcentral is "long non-coding RNA (VRAD_LNC010790)". Lineage: Eukaryota; Viridiplantae; Streptophyta; Magnoliopsida; Fabales; Fabaceae. The record is from RNAcentral.